Molecule: non-coding RNA, 97 nt
Organism: Crucibulum laeve
Lineage: Eukaryota; Fungi; Basidiomycota; Agaricomycetes; Agaricales; Nidulariaceae
Source: the annotation of a GenBank genome assembly
AGCAGCAUGGCGCAGCUGGAAGCGCGCGGGGCCCAUAUACUGUGAUGUAACUUACAUAUAUACCCCGAGGUCACUCGAUCGAAACGAGUUGCUGCUA